RNAcentral lists this ribosomal RNA (193 nucleotides) under Candidatus Peregrinibacteria bacterium. Its description in RNAcentral is "partial 16S ribosomal RNA". It matches the Rfam family "Bacterial small subunit ribosomal RNA", at positions 1332 to 1533 of the family's 1533-position model. Lineage: Bacteria; Candidatus Peregrinibacteriota. The record is from RNAcentral.
UCGCUAGUAACCGCGUAUCAGCCAUGGCGCGGUGAAUAUGUUCCUGGGUCUUGUACUCACCGCCUGUCAAGUGAUGAAAGGAAGGGGCACCCGAAGUACCUCCGAUAAGAGAGGUCCUAAGGUGAAACUUCUGAUUGGCACUAAGUCAUAACAAGGUAUCCGUACGAGAACGUGCGGAUGGACCACCUCCUUU